GCCGGGUUAGCUCAGCGGUAGAGCAGCGGUUUUGUAAACCGAAGGUCGGGGGUUCAAUCCCCUCACCCGGCA
This 72-nucleotide transfer RNA is filed under the name Magnetospirillum sp. RNAcentral describes it as "tRNA-Thr". It matches the Rfam family "tRNA". Rfam says of the family: Transfer RNA (tRNA) molecules are approximately 80 nucleotides in length. Their secondary structure includes four short double-helical elements and three loops (D, anti-codon, and T loops). Lineage: Bacteria; Pseudomonadati; Pseudomonadota; Alphaproteobacteria; Rhodospirillales; Rhodospirillaceae. RNAcentral also lists the same sequence under 11 other names. The record is from RNAcentral.